Cinara cedri is the source of this 703-nucleotide non-coding RNA. Lineage: Eukaryota; Metazoa; Arthropoda; Insecta; Hemiptera; Aphididae. The record is from the annotation of a GenBank genome assembly.
AAAAAAAAAAAAAAAAAAAACAAAAAAAAAAUGUACAUAAUAUUUAUAUAGGUAUUUCUGUUGUACAGGGGUUAUUUUUAACAGACAAAAAAAAAAGCUCGUCGAUGUGAUUCAAGUAUAAUAAUAUGCAAUUAUAUUAUUUAUAAAUUAUAAUGUAAUAAUAAUAAAUUACGAUCGUUAUUUUGCUCAAGCGAUGAAACGUCCAAUCGAUUUUUUUUUUUAAAAUGUUAUUUGAUUAGGGUUUUUUUUAAAUUUUUUUGUGUUGUCUAUUAGCGCGAUUCAGGCGGUUUGUAUUAUUAUUAUUAUUAUUAUUAUGCGAGUUGUUAUCAUUGCGAUCCUUAGAAAUAUUGAUUGUCUCAGAAAGCCAAUAUUAUAUUUUGUUUCUCUUUCGUAAUAGUUAUUCGUUCGUUUUUGUAUUGCUAUUAUAUGUUUUGUUCAUAUACGAAAUUGCAAUAUUAUUAUUAUAUUUUAUUAUUAUUAUGUAUUUAUAUUAUGUAGUUAGGUAUGUAAAACGCGUCGUAACAAUAAAAAAAAAAUAUAUUUUAUAAUAACAAGCUCCCCCUUAAGCUCCCUGCCCCCCCGUCCCCCCCGAAUAAAUAGAACAGUGAUUUUUAUUAUUAUUAUUAUUAUUCUUUUAAUAAUAAUUUCAACUAUAUAAUAUUAUUAUAUAAACAAUUUAAUUUAUUCAUAAACCUAUACAAUA